GCAGCACGGGAGCAAUCCUGGUGGCGAGUGGCGAACGGGUGAGUAAUAUAUCGGAACGUGCCCAGUCGUGGGGGAUAACGUAGAGAAAUUUACGCUAAUACCGCAUACGAUCUAAGGAUGAAAGCGGGGGACUUCGCAAGGGGCCUCGCGCGAUUGGAGCGGCUGAUAUCAGAUUAGGUUGUUGGUGAGGUAAAAGCUCACCAAGCCGACGAUCUGUAGCUGGUUUGAGAGAACGACCAGCCACACUGGGACUGAGACACGGCCCAGACUCCUACGGGAGGCAGCAGUGGGGAAUUUUGGACAAUGGGCGAAAGCCUGAUCCAGCAAUGCCGCGUGCAGGAAGAAGGCCUUCGGGUUGUAAACUGCUUUUGUACGGAACGAAAAGGUCUGCCCUAAUACGGCGGGCCCAUGACGGUACCGUAAGAAUAAGCACCGGCUAACUACGUGCCAGCAGCCGCGGUAAUACGUAGGGUGCGAGCGUUAAUCGGAAUUACUGGGCGUAAAGCGUGCGCAGGCGGUGAUGUAAGACAGUUGUGAAAUCCCCGGGCUCAACCUGGGAAUUGCAUCUGUGACUGCAUCGCUAGAGUACGGUAGAGGGGGAUGGAAUUCCGCGUGUAGCAGUGAAAUGCGUAGAUAUGCGGAGGAACACCGAUGGCGAAGGCAAUCCCCUGGACCUGUACUGACGCUCAUGCACGAAAGCGUGGGGAGCAAACAGGAUUANAUACCCUGGUAGUCCACGCCCUANNNNAUGUCAACUGGUUGUUGGGUGCAUUAGUACUCAGUNACGAAGCUAACGCGUGAANUUGACCGCCUGGGGAGUACGGCCGCAAGGGUUGAAACUCAAAGGAAUNGACGGGNACCCGCACAA
RNAcentral lists this ribosomal RNA (868 nucleotides) under uncultured bacterium. RNAcentral's name for it is "bacterial SSU rRNA". It matches the Rfam family "Bacterial small subunit ribosomal RNA", at positions 69 to 928 of the family's 1533-position model. The record is from RNAcentral.